CAAUAUUAGUAGAAAAAUUACUAAUAUUGUAAUGAUCUUUUUCUUUAAAUCAGAAAUGUUGGCUUACCAAGUUUAGUGCAGUAUACUUUCAUAAGUGUAAGAUUUGACCCUGUAAAACCAAAGAUAAUUAAAAAUAAAAUAUUAAAGGACAUUGCUAUUUUUAGAUGUUUGUUUUACAUAUUUAAUUUGAAUUCUUGAUUUGUUUACUUUUUUUUUUCUUUUGGAACAAGCAUUUAUUUAAGGAUAUUUAAGAUACUAUUGAAAAACUGUACAACAGAUGGAGAAACUGAAAGCAAGGUGAAAAUGUUAUAAAGAAAAACAAAAGAAUCUGUUGAGUGUACAUGGAAUCCCAAAGUGAAAAGGAAAAGCUAAUAAUGAAAUUAAGGUAAUUAGUGAAUUUCUAAAAUGUCUGGACUUUUAAAUGAGAAAGCUUAUGCUCUGUCUAGGUGUUUAUCAUAAUAAAUAGUUGAAAAAAUUAGUCUUACGAAAUUAGUCUAUGGAAUAUUCCUUGAUAUAACACUAUCAUGUAUAAUGAUAACAAUACAUUAUUCAGAUAGAUUCAAUAUAUCAUUAGACUUUAUAAUAUUAAAAGUUACUUCCAAUUGAUUAUGCUUCCCUAUCUGUUCCUUUGAAGAAUUAGAAAUGCUGAAUUUCUCACUGGACAGCAUAAGAAGAAUUGCUUUAACAAAUGCAAGUAUUCAUGUAGUCUUUAUUUCUCAGUAUCACCUUCUUAUUUCAUCUCCAGACUAAUAACUUUUGAGAGUUAAGUUCUAAUCAAGUUCCUGUUUAUAUCUUUCAAAGUUCUAAUUCAUUCAUUCAUUCAAUAAAUAAUGUUAGUUUGUCAGGGAUUGUGCAAAGUAAUACUCUGGAUAAAGUAAUGCUGAUUAAUUCACUGCCUCUUAUCUCUAGGAGCUUACUUGCUGAGCAUACAGUAGGUAUUCUACAAAUAGUUACUAAGUGGAUUUAGGUUAUGGAAAAUCCUUAAAUAUUCAAGAAUUAAAUAGCACACUUCAAAAAUGGCCCAAGUUCAAAGAUGAGAUGACAAAGGAUUUCAAACUAGUAAUAAUGAAAAUGUAUAUAUUCAAGUUUGUGGAAUUCAACCAAGGGGAGUACCUGGAGGGAAAAGUAUAGCUUUCCAUGUUCAUAUUAGAAAAUAACAAGAAGCCUACCAUCAAGAUCUCAGUUUCUACUUUUAGAAUCUAGAAAAGGGACAAUUCUAAAGUACUAUGAAGGAAGUAGUAAAAAAAUGGAAAUAAAAAACAUGGCAAGUGUACAAGCAAUAGAGAAACCCCAAAUAACAUAGAAAACAUACAUUAGAGAGAAUCAGUAUAACCUAUGUAAUUCAAGGAGCAGUUGUAGAGGAGGGAGAUAAAUAAAGAUGUUUCUGGAACAACUUGUUAGCACUAUAGAAAAUAAAAACUCCAACCCUUUUCUCAAACAUACACAAAAUAAUUUACUAAAAAUAUAUUGUAGAUCUAAUUGUAAAGAUUAAAACUUUGUGAUCUUAGAGUUGGCAAAGAUUUUCUAGCUAGAACACAGAAAACAUUUAUGAAAAAAUAUUGAAAAAUUGAACUUAAAAAACUUCUGCUCUUCCAAAGACAUGCUAUAAAAUGAAGAGACCACAAAGAAGAAUAAAAUCUUUGCAGUAGUGUAUCUGAUUUUGGUCUUUCUACAGAACAACAAAAAAGUCUUAGAACUUAAUAAAAAGACAAACCAGGUUUAAAAAGUAAGCAAAAGUCUUACAAGACAUUAUACAAAAGAAAAUAUAUGAAUAACCAAUAAGUACUUGAAAAUUAAUGUCAUUAUUUAUCAGGGAAAUAUAGAACCACAAUGAGAUGCCUGCACACAUUUGGUAAAAUGGCUAAAAUUGAAAAGUUUGGCAAUAUCAAGUGUUGACAAGGACAUGGAACAAUUGAGGUUCACAUAUACUGCUAGUGGAAGCAUAAAUUGGUGCAAGCACAUUGGAAAACUGACAGUUUCUUAAGUACACAUUUACUACAUAAUAGAUUCCACUCUUAAGUAUUUGCCUUAAAGGAAUGAAAUCAUGUCCCUGCACAGAUUUAUACCUGAAUGUUGGUAGCAGCGUAAUUCAUAAGAGCCCCAAAUUUGAAAAAACAAAUUCAAAAGUCAAUCUAUGAGUGAAUAGAUAAGUGAUGGUAAAUUUAAACAAUAGAAGAAGGAGGAAAAAGAAUGAACUAUUAUUUGCAGUAAGCUGUGUGAAUCUCAAAACCAUUACAUAUGGUAAGGGUAAGAGGCCAAACAUGAAAGUAUAUACUCUACAUAUAUGUGAAAUUUUAGAACAGGCAAAGUUAAUCUAUAGUGACAGCAAAUCAAUAGCUGCCUGGGGUCAGGUGUUUUUUUUUUGUUUGUUUGUUUUUUUGGUUGAAUAAAGAGGGGCACUUUUUGGGAUAAUGAAAAAAUUCUGUAUUUUGAUUUUGAUGUUGUUUUUUAAAUGUAUACAUUUGUCAAACUCAUCAAACCACACUUUAUUAUGUGUGACUUG
RNAcentral lists this long non-coding RNA (2503 nucleotides) under Marmota monax (woodchuck). Lineage: Eukaryota; Metazoa; Chordata; Mammalia; Rodentia; Sciuridae. The record is from RNAcentral.